This is a long non-coding RNA of Macrobrachium nipponense, 862 nucleotides long. RefSeq lists it as uncharacterized. The transcript has 3 exons. The record is from RefSeq and is a predicted model, not a curated record. Lineage: Eukaryota; Metazoa; Arthropoda; Malacostraca; Decapoda; Palaemonidae.
AUCAUUGAAGUCUUCAGCCGAGUGGACUGUUCGUGUCGUGAACUUCUAAAAGCAUUUUAAACUCGAGCGGAAAAUAACCUGCACAGACCAGAGAACAUGUGUGAAUUGUGCGAAUGCUGUUUAUGUGAACUGUGCGAAUGCGCUACAUGUGCAGUUUGCUGCUGCUGUACGGGAAACAUAUGCUGUGGAGCUGUCAUUGGUCUAAUCGUGCUGGCGGUGGUGGCCGCAAUCAUCGUCUUGAUCCUGUACUUGACGGGAAUUAUAGUAGUCUAAGGACGGCGACUAUAAUCAGUUGAGCAAAUGAGCUUGAUGGAGAUGGGAGAUACCAGGAUCCGGAGGAGGAGGCAGAGCUAAGACUGCCAGAACGAGGAUGGAAUACAGCCUGAUUAAGAUCAAAAGGCCAAAAAACAGAAGGACCGGAAAACAUCGAUUAGGAGCAUCUGCGGAGAACUUUCUUUUGUCAAUCAAGUCAUUGAAAGAGAUCCUCGGAGUCAUUAUUAUAAUUGUUAUCAUUAUUAUCAUUAUCAUUACUGCAAAUAUGUUCUCACAGGGCAAAGCUUUUACAUAAAACUCAAAAACAUUUGUCGCCAGCGGAGCGAAAAAGUGUAGAGAGGUUCUUAAAAGUGCAUAAUUAGGAAGCGCUGGGCAAAAGGAAAGGCUUAUAUAUAAAAUGUGAUUAUACUGUAGAUUGAGCUGAAGGAGCAUUAGCAUUUGUGAAGUUUUCAACUUCAAAGAAAUGGAAGACGCGUUUCUCUUAUAUUUCAAGCAGCUAUUUUCAGCUAGACUUGAGCAAGGGAGCGAAUCCAGAUCUUGAAAAAAUAAAAGUUGAUAGUAUAUAAAACAGAAGAAAAACAUGACUAUA